UACGUAGGAGGCAAGCGUUGUCCGGAGUUACUGGGCGUAAAGAGCUCGUAGGCGGUCUGUCGCGUCUGGUGUGAAAAUCCAGGGCUUAACCCUGGACCUGCAUCGGGUACGGGCAGACUAGAGUGCGGUAGGGGAGAUCGGAAUUCCUGGUGUAGCGGUGAAAUGCGCAGAUAUCAGGAGGAACACCGGUGGCGAAGGCGGAUCUCUGGGCCGUAACUGACGCUGAGGAGCGAAAGCAUGGGGAGCGAACAGG
This 253-nucleotide ribosomal RNA is filed under the name uncultured bacterium. Its description in RNAcentral is "partial 16S ribosomal RNA". It matches the Rfam family "Bacterial small subunit ribosomal RNA", at positions 524 to 776 of the family's 1533-position model. The record is from RNAcentral.